Molecule: ribosomal RNA, 650 nt
Filed under: uncultured bacterium
Lineage: Bacteria
Description: bacterial SSU rRNA
Rfam family: Bacterial small subunit ribosomal RNA
Source: RNAcentral
WCGAUCGAUGGUAGCUUGCUACAGGCGACGAGUGGCGGACGGGUGAGUAAUGCAUAGGAAUCUGCCUAGUAGUGGGGGACAACCUGGGGAAACUCAGGCUAAUACCGCAUACGCCCUUCGGGGGAAAGGCCUCGGCCGCUAUUAGAUGAGCCUAUGUCUGAUUAGCUUGUUGGUGGGGUAACGGCCUACCAAGGCGACGAUCAGUAGCUGGUCUGAGAGGACGAUCAGCCACACUGGGACUGAGACACGGCCCAGACUCCUACGGGAGGCAGCAGUGGGGAAUAUUGGACAAUGGGCGAAAGCCUGAUCCAGCAAUGCCGCGUGUGUGAAGAAGGCCCGCGGGUUGUAAAGCACUUUCAGUAGGGAAGAUAAUGACGGUACCUACAGAAGAAGCACCGGCUAACUCUGUGCCAGCAGCCGCGGUAAUACAGAGGGUGCAAGCGUUAAUCGGAAUUACUGGGCGUAAAGCGCGCGUAGGCGGUUUGUUAAGCCGGAUGUGAAAGCCCCGGGCUCAACCUGGGAACUGCAUUCGAUACUGGCAGGCUAGAGUAUGGUAGAGGGAAGUGGAAUUCCGGGUGUAGCGGUGAAAUGCGUAGAUAUCCGGAGGAACAUCAGUGGCGAAGGCGGCUUCCUGGACCAAUACUGACGCU